This 220-nucleotide long non-coding RNA is filed under the name Phoenix dactylifera (date palm). RNAcentral describes it as "long non-coding RNA (PDAC_LNC017279)". Lineage: Eukaryota; Viridiplantae; Streptophyta; Magnoliopsida; Arecales; Arecaceae. The record is from RNAcentral.
CGAGCCUCGGGGAAUUCCGCUCGUUGGUCGGCCAAGGCUGGCGCAAGCCGAGGCGACCGGUCGGGGCUUCAGGCUAGUCUGCUCCCGGGAUGAUCAUCGGGUUAGCCUGGCAUCCGAGGGCCGAGCCUCGGGAAAUUCCGCUCGUUGGCCACGCGCCUGUCACUUGCCGCUCGACGGGAUUUCUCCGUGGCCAGCUGCGAUCGUGUUUCUCCCCCUCUCG